Molecule: transfer RNA, 206 nt
Filed under: Sphingomonas japonica
Lineage: Bacteria; Pseudomonadati; Pseudomonadota; Alphaproteobacteria; Sphingomonadales; Sphingomonadaceae
Description: tRNA-Ala
Source: RNAcentral
GAAGCUGUUGUCGAUCACAAAGGUGAUGAGUGGCAUGAUCUCCAGAACCUAGCACUAGCGUAUCAUUCGCGUAGCGCUAAACCGCUAUCGAGGCGGAAUUGAUAGCAAGUGCUGGGUCGAUUUACGACGGUUUUUCGAGAUUUGCACGCCGGUUCUCUGCAAUCGCACUGCAGAGGUCAGGGGUUCGAUUCCCCUCAGCUCCACCA